CCAUAUCACCUUCAAACACUCGUUCAGGUAUGAUCACUGAAGUUAAGCAACGUCGGGCCUGUUCAAUACCUAGAUGUGUGACUGCCUGUGAAUACCAGGUGUUGUCAU
Molecule: non-coding RNA, 108 nt
Organism: Acanthosepion pharaonis
Lineage: Eukaryota; Metazoa; Mollusca; Cephalopoda; Sepiida; Sepiidae
Source: the annotation of a GenBank genome assembly